RNAcentral lists this long non-coding RNA (1275 nucleotides) under Canis lupus familiaris (dog). RNAcentral describes it as "lncRNA (ENSCAFG00030017519.1)". The record is from RNAcentral. Lineage: Eukaryota; Metazoa; Chordata; Mammalia; Carnivora; Canidae.
CUUUCUACCCCUUCCUUUGAUCUCCUGCUGCUCUUUCUUCUCCACGGCUUCCAACGGGCCUUACUUGGCUGGCCAGGUAGGCGCCUGCUUCUGCUGGGUCUGGUGGCAUACCGGGACGCCCUUGCCGCCCCCGGAGGAGCCGCUGCUCCCACCACUGGAGAAGCAGCCCCCGCCGGCCCCGGACCCGGAGGAGCCGCCGCCGCCGCCGCCCCCGCAACUGGAGAAGCAGCCCCCGCCGCCCCCGGACCCGGAGGAGCCGCCGCCGCAGCCGCCGCCGCUGGAGAAGCAGCCCCCGCCGCCCCCGCCCCCGGAGGAGCCGCCUCCGUAGCCCUGCUGGGGCGUGCACGAGGUCUGGGGGGUCUGUUGCGACGAGAAGCAGCCGGAGCCGCCCCCGGAGGAGCCGCCGCCGCAGCCGGAGCCGCCCCCCGAGGAGCCCCCGCCGCAGCCGGAGCCGCCGCCCGAGACACCUCCGUAGCUCUGGCACUGGACCUGCUGGCCGGAGCCGCCGCCGCCGCCGCCGCCGGAGUAGCCUCCGCAGCCGGAGCCGCCGCUGGAGGAGGAGCCGCCGCCGCAGCCGGAGCCGCCGCCGCCCCCGGAGUAGCCUCCGCAGCCGGAGCCGCCGCCGGAGACACCUCCGUAGCUCUGGCACUGAACCUGCUGGCCGGAGCCGCCGCCGCCGCCGCCGCCGGAGUAGCCUCCGCAGCCGGAGCCGCCGCUGGAGGAGCCGCCGCCGCAGCCGGAGCCGCCGCCGCCCCCGGAGUAGCCUCCGCAGCCGGAGCCGCCGCCGCCCCCGGAGUACUUGGUGCUCCCACCCGAACCUCCUCCGGAGCCGCCGCCACCGCAGCCGGAGCCGCCGCCGCCGGAGUAGCCUCCGCAGCCGGAGCCGCCGCCGCCGCCGCCGCCGGAGUAGCCUCCGCAGCUGGAGCCGCCGCCGCCCCCGGAACAGCCUCCGCCCCCGGAGUACUUGACGCUCCCACCGGAACCUCCUCCGCAGCCUCCGGAACCUCCUCCGCCGCCUCCGCCGCCUCCGGAGCAGCCUCCGCCCCCGGAGUAGCCUCCGCAGCCGGAGCCGCCGCUGGAGGAGGAGCCGCCGCCGCAGCCGGAGCCGCCGCCGCCCCCGGAGUACUUGACGCUCCCACCCGAGCCGCCGCCGCCGCCGCAGCCACCGGAGCCGCCGCCGCCGCCGCCCGAGGUCUUCCCGAAGCCCAUUGGAGGCAUGGGGGUGGGCUGCUUCUUCUGGUGAGACAUCUUGCGCAAGCAGGAAGCGAACCCUGA